UUUAAAGGGCACUAACUGUCAAAUUCAUGGUCACCGAUUUGACUCAAAUUCUCAUAUCUGAUUUAUAACAAUGUAAAACAUUUAUCCAAACUAUCAAAAGUCUAAAAUAAACAGUUUACAGAGCAUGGGGUAGAUAAUAUAUAGGUUCGUUUCGUGUGUAUUUUAGUCCAGACGCCAUCUAAUUACCUAUCGAUUUGACCUCAGAUGACCAUAUAAGCGAUGUAAACAUAAAUAAAGAUAUGAAUAGAUUAAACCAACACGUGCAAUUGGAUGUUUAUAGGUCUGUUUGAUUUUAUUCAAUAGAUUAAAAAUAGAUGUUUCUCAUUGUUUUUAACCGUAUAAGAAUGAUUUUAUGUGCAUCGAAUUAGUA
RNAcentral lists this long non-coding RNA (370 nucleotides) under Mytilus galloprovincialis (Mediterranean mussel). Lineage: Eukaryota; Metazoa; Mollusca; Bivalvia; Mytilida; Mytilidae. The record is from RNAcentral.